This is a long non-coding RNA of Helianthus annuus (common sunflower), 336 nucleotides long. RefSeq lists it as uncharacterized. Lineage: Eukaryota; Viridiplantae; Streptophyta; Magnoliopsida; Asterales; Asteraceae. The transcript has 3 exons. The record is from RefSeq and is a predicted model, not a curated record.
CUAACGUUUAAAAAAAAAACCAUUUGUCUACUUUGAGGCUGAAUUCAGUUAUUCACCAUGAACUUUGAUUUGAUUCCAGCAGGUGUUUGCAGUGGCAAGUUGACACAGAAGCAAUGAAGCCCUCCACAAAGGUAGUACCAAGGAUGUUAUUAACAGAUUCUUGCCUAUAAGAAUUUCAAAGUUUGGGAUUUUGGUGCUUGUUCAACGCUUCUUAAGGUAAUCAUGUAACUUGGAGACUAAUGAAUCUAACUUGGAGCACUAAUGAAUCGUAACAAGCCAAUGACAAAACUGAGGAAGACGGAAAACGGGAAGAACUCAUGAUACCCGCAACAAACC